UUUUUUUUGUCUUUAUAAUAAAUAAGGCCUGCCCACUGAUUAUUUAAAGGGCCGCAGGAUUUAAACUGUGCGAAGGUAGCAUAAUAAUUAGUUUUUUAAUUAAAAAAUAGAAUGAAUGGUUUUACUGUUAGAAUUUGUUAUUUAUAUAUGUUGUGAAGUUAAAUUAUAAGUGAAAAUGCUUUUAUUUUAUUUUGGGGCGAUAAGACCCCAUAGAUCUUUAUAUUUUUAUGGUAAAUUUAAGUAGGUAAUUAUUUUUAUAGUAGUAAUAUUUGGCUGGGGUGGUGUCAGAGAUUUUUUAACUUCUGAAAUAUUAUUGUAGCCCUAAAUUUUGGAGCAACAAGAUACCUUGGGGAUAACAGCGUUAUAAAAUUGAAGUGUUCUGAUUAAUAAUUUUGUUUGCGACCUCGAUGUUGAAUUAGAAUGUAUUUAUUUAGCAGUUUAAAUAAAUUAAUAGUCUGUUCGACUAUGCCAAUUCUACA
Molecule: ribosomal RNA, 479 nt
Filed under: Megalothorax nigropunctatus
Lineage: Eukaryota; Metazoa; Arthropoda; Collembola; Neelipleona; Neelidae
Description: partial 16S ribosomal RNA
Rfam family: Bacterial large subunit ribosomal RNA
Source: RNAcentral